AGGUGUAUUACGGGGCAAUUACUCCAUUGGCAGGCAACAACUUCCUCCGUAAGAAGUUCAAUGAACAAAAAUGGAGGAGUAAGUUUACUGCCAAAGGAGAUUUGCCCGGCAAUUCACAA
This 119-nucleotide microRNA precursor is filed under the name Spinacia oleracea (spinach). RNAcentral's name for it is "mir-399 microRNA precursor family". It matches the Rfam family "mir-399 microRNA precursor family". From Rfam's summary of the family: mir-399 was identified in both Arabidopsis thaliana and Oryza sativa computationally and was later experimentally verified. mir-399 is thought to target mRNAs coding for a phosphatase transporter. The mature sequence is excised from the 3' arm of the hairpin. Lineage: Eukaryota; Viridiplantae; Streptophyta; Magnoliopsida; Caryophyllales; Amaranthaceae. The record is from Rfam by way of RNAcentral.